RNAcentral lists this transfer RNA (84 nucleotides) under Felis catus (domestic cat). It matches the Rfam family "tRNA". From Rfam's summary of the family: Transfer RNA (tRNA) molecules are approximately 80 nucleotides in length. Lineage: Eukaryota; Metazoa; Chordata; Mammalia; Carnivora; Felidae. The record is from Rfam by way of RNAcentral.
ACCUGGGUGGCUCAGUGCUUGAGCACUUGACUUCAGCUCAAGUCAUGAUCUCACACUUUGUGAGUUCGAGCCCCACGUCGGGCU